Molecule: ribosomal RNA, 482 nt
Filed under: uncultured bacterium
Lineage: Bacteria
Description: partial 16S ribosomal RNA
Rfam family: Bacterial small subunit ribosomal RNA
Source: RNAcentral
GACGAACGCUGGCGGCGUGCUUAACACAUGCAAGUCGAACGAUGAAACCUAGCUUGCUAGGUCGAUUAGUGGCGAACGGGUGAGUAACACGUGACUAACCUGCCCCUUUCUCUGGGAUAACGCUCCGAAAGGAGUGCUAAUACCGGAUACUCACAUCGAGGCACAUGCCUUGGUGUGGAAAGUUUUUCGGAAAGGGAUGGAGUCGCGGCCUAUCAGCUUGUUGGUGAGGUAACGGCUCACCAAGGCGACGACGGGUAGCCGGCCUGAGAGGGGGACCGGCCACACUGGGACUGAGACACGGCCCAGACUCCUCCGGGAGGCAGCAGUGGGGAAUAUUGCACAAUGGGCGCAAGCCUGAUGCAGCGACGCCGCGUGAGGGAUGAAGGUCUUCGGAUUGUAAACCUCUUUCAGUAGGGACGAAGCGAAAGUGACGGUACCUAAAGAAGAAGCACCGGCUAACUACGUGCCAGCCGCCGCAGUAA